UACGAAGGGGGCUAGCGUUGCUCGGAAUCACUGGGCGUAAAGCGCACGUAGGCGGAUCUUUAAGUCAGGGGUGAAAUCCUGGAGCUCAACUCCAGAACUGCCUUUGAUACUGGGGAUCUCGAGUCCGGAAGAGGUGAGUGGAACUCCGAGUGUAGAGGUGAAAUUCGUAGAUAUUCGGAAGAACACCAGUGGCGAAGGCGGCUCACUGGUCCGUUACUGACGCUGAGGUGCGAAAGCGUGGGGAGCAAACAGG
Molecule: ribosomal RNA, 253 nt
Filed under: uncultured bacterium
Lineage: Bacteria
Description: partial 16S ribosomal RNA
Rfam family: Bacterial small subunit ribosomal RNA
Source: RNAcentral